Molecule: ribosomal RNA, 639 nt
Filed under: uncultured bacterium
Lineage: Bacteria
Description: bacterial SSU rRNA
Rfam family: Bacterial small subunit ribosomal RNA (bases 1-542)
Source: RNAcentral
CCUACGGGAGGCAGCAGUGGGGAAUUUUGGACAAUGGGCGCAAGCCUGAUCCAGCAAUGCCGCGUGCAGGAUGAAGGCCUUCGGGUUGUAAACUGCUUUUGUACGGAACGAAACGGCCCUUUCUAAUACAAGGGGCUAAUGACGGUACCGUAAGAAUAAGCACCGGCUAACUACGUGCCAGCAGCCGCGGUAAUACGUAGGGUGCGAGCGUUAAUCGGAAUUACUGGGCGUAAAGCGUGCGCAGGCGGUUAUAUAAGACAGAUGUGAAAUCCCCGGGCUCAACCUGGGACCUGCAUUUGUGACUGUAUAGCUAGAGUACGGUAGAGGGGGAUGGAAUUCCGCGUGUAGCAGUGAAAUGCGUAGAUAUGCGGAGGAACACCGAUGGCGAAGGCAAUCCCCUGGACCUGUACUGACGCUCAUGCACGAAAGCGUGGGGAGCAAACAGGAUUAGAUACCCUGGUAGUCCACGCCCUAAACGAUGUCAACUGGUUGUUGGGUCUUCACUGACUCAGUAACGAAGCUAACGCGUGAAGUUGACCGCCUGGGGGAGGUACGGUCCGGCGAGGUUAGUUAAACGUUAAAGUUAAGUUAGUAGGACGGNGNGAGACGCGACGGACGGACGACGACGGAGGGAGGAGG